Molecule: long non-coding RNA, 358 nt
Organism: Mercenaria mercenaria
Lineage: Eukaryota; Metazoa; Mollusca; Bivalvia; Venerida; Veneridae
Exons: 4
Source: RefSeq, a predicted model, not a curated record
CCUCCCUCGUGUUUACAUAUUUUGACAGGUCGAGUUCUUCUGGGACUAGGAACAAUGAUGAAUGAAUACCUGCACCAUGGAAACAAUGUCAUUUGCAAACUUUUUGAACCUGUGCUGGGCGUUCACAUUGACAUUUCUUGUUCAACAGGAAUACAUGAUGUCGACCAACAGUACAGCUAGAUGAAGAUAUAAAUGUAUUCAAAAAAAUAAUGGGACAAUGAAUGCUAAAAUUGCCAAGAAGAAGACUGCCAAUUUACACACCAUUUUAUACAGUUACAGUAUGAUAUGGUGGACAAAAAGCCCUCAAUGCAGCCAGUUCUGGAGCUUUGGUUAGACUAUGAACAGUAGACAUCAAAAG